GUAGAUAUAGUUUAACAAAAACAUUAGAUUGUGAGUCUAAAAAUAGGGUAUUAUAUCCCUUAUCUACC
RNAcentral lists this transfer RNA (68 nucleotides) under Talpa martinorum. RNAcentral describes it as "tRNA-His". It matches the Rfam family "tRNA". Rfam says of the family: Transfer RNA (tRNA) molecules are approximately 80 nucleotides in length. Their secondary structure includes four short double-helical elements and three loops (D, anti-codon, and T loops). The record is from RNAcentral. Lineage: Eukaryota; Metazoa; Chordata; Mammalia; Eulipotyphla; Talpidae.